UUGAUAAUUUUUGACCUUACACUGUGAAUUGUAUUUCAUGUUUUGUGACAUUCCAACAUCUCAAAUAGACUUUUUUUAAUAGGAUCUGGAACACCGUCAGCUGCCUCUAAUCAGUCCCCAAUGCCUCCAGGAUCCACUCCCCCUCCUCACCAGCCAAUUGGUCUUGCCCAAGCACAGACAAACAACAGCAACAACAAGACAGAUGCUUUCACACAGCAGCUUCAUAGGCUGGUGGAUAACUGGGCAGAAGGGGUGAGGGCUCCUUCACGCUCACCCUCCCUCAGUCUAAGACCACAGCAACUGACCAGAUCCAGGAUCUGGAGCGCUAUAGAGGUUCCAAUUUCAAUAGAAAGAUUGAAUGCUUCUCAGCUGUCUCUAUCAUGGCCACAGAUAGAUUUCCAUGCCUCUGUGAUGCCGACUGACACUUCACAAGUACUCCAGCGCAGUUUUAUGGUGGCUGGUAACCCUUACGGAAAGAUGUUGGGCGCUCCACACUUAGACAUGGACCACUGGCCAGCAAUGACUGCCAUUCAUAACCAAGAAGUCUUUGCUUUCACUGCUGUGCACUCCCCCUCUUGGACAGUACCUUCUUCCCCCAGCGAGGUUCCUAAUUCUAGAAAUAGGACCAUGUAGCUUCACAAUCACUGUACUUAUACUUUUUACUCUGUUGCCAAAAAUACUUCAGAGUUUCUUUAGAGUGCUAGUUAGGCCUAGCAUUGUGCAAUUCUGUUGCAGUUGUUAGCAUGUAGUUGCUUACAAUGUAGUAAUCCCUCAUGAACAUAUAAAUACUCAGGCCAACAAUGUAGGCAUAUCAUCUGUAGUGUACAUUCAGUAUUAUUGUACAUAUUCAUAAAGCCUAUGUAGCAUAACUGAAUUUUAGCAUAGGCAUAUGUACAGAAUGUAUAUUUUUCAUCAAAAUAUAUUUAGCUUGCUAGUGAGAGAAUCUUCCUUCACACCUUGAGCUGUACACAUAUGUAAAUGCUAUAAGGUACAGUAAGAUGCUCUUAAAUUUGUGUAGAUGUGUAUAGAUACCGUUUAUACUUCUGUAANNNNNNNNNNNNNNNNNNNNNNNNNNNNNNNNNNNNNNNNNNNNNNNNNNNNNNNNNNNNNNNNNNNNNNNNNNNNNNNNNNNNNNNNNNNNNNNNNNGAACGCUAAUUUCACAAUGCACUAGUCAAAAACACACUACCGCAUGCUAGAAAAGUAACAACCAAGACCUGCACUGAGAAAAGAGAGAACUUUAACAGACUGUACAUUUCAGGUGAACAAGCCUGCUAGAGUGCCUUGAACUGCAACUGAGGACUGUGCUAUGUACAUUACCAGCCAGUGUACCAAGGGUAAUGGUGAUUCUAUUAAUUUAGUGUUACCAAGCAUAAUUCUAACUAAAUUCAUGUUUUCCCCACCUGCGGUUUAUGAUGUCCUUUAUGGACAUUUAUAAAAAUGCAUUUUACCACUACCUAUUUGUGGUAUAAAUUAGUUACGAGUGUAAUUUUGUUUUGAAUGUAUGUGCAUUAAUAUUAUUUUCUACAUCAUCUGAUACAGUAAAAAAAAUCACAUUGACCUAGAGCAAAAAGGAAAGCAAGAUUUGUUUUCAAAACUGUAAUAACUAUAAAAGUUGUUUUUCUGAAUCUAAAAAAACAAAUUUUACAAUGAAUGAGCUGAAUGAUCUCUACUGCUGCAGUCAUGUUUGCAGUUACAGCACAACAGUCUCAUUGCACAAUGUCAUCAUUUAGAUCACACUGCUACUGUUUUUAAUUAAUAAUCCUAAUACUGGAGUUUCCUGGUGGAGCAACAGUGAUUUCAUAGCGUGUUGACAGACUGGUGCUUUGCAACAUACAGUAUCAAAUGCCAUGUCCACCUAACUAUUAACACCUAAAUUUGAGUUUCAAAAUAUAGUAAUUACUAGUACACAAACAUCUGUAGAUGUUCUCUUAAGUUAUAGUUCUGGCGAGGUAUAUGUUAUUAUAACAAAACAAAAAAAAGUGGAAUGUAACAGGAUGAAGUAGACAAAAUCUGCUCAUGCUAGCUUUAAUAAACUUUUUUUCUGUAUGUUUUCAUUUUGCAGUACACAUAAGUGACAUUAGAUCUAACCUUGCGCUAAGCAGAGGUAUAAACAAGCCAUUAUUUUAUUGUCAUUGUAAAUGGUUCUGUAAUGCAUGAGAGUCUUUAUGACUCUUAUGAUACAGCAAAUCUUAUUUCAAUUUAUUAUCUAUUAUUUUUGUAUUUCACCAAUGUAGCAGUUAACUAAUGAUUAAUCAAAUAUAUUGAAAUAAAAUUAAAUGGGCUAUUGAUAUUUGGGUCAUGAAACAUAAUGGAUUUUUUUUCUGGUGAAACUGCAGUAAGUAAAUAAGACUGCACUAUGACAGUGCUUGCAUUAUGACAUUACUAAGCUUGUUUACUUUCUGUAUGGCUAUGUAGACUGAAAUAUGAGGCAGUCCAUCUCAAAUCUGAGCCAUUUUACUUGAUGUUUGUCUUCAGAAAAAGUUCACUACACUAUGUUACAAUCUUCGAAUGAAAUGCAUUUUGUUACACAUUUUCAGAAAUGUCUACCUUGUACAAACAAACAAA
This 2566-nucleotide long non-coding RNA is filed under the name Sinocyclocheilus grahami. RNAcentral describes it as "lncRNA (ENSSGRG00000003230.1)". Lineage: Eukaryota; Metazoa; Chordata; Actinopteri; Cypriniformes; Cyprinidae. The record is from RNAcentral.